RNAcentral lists this ribosomal RNA (253 nucleotides) under uncultured bacterium. RNAcentral's name for it is "partial 16S ribosomal RNA". It matches the Rfam family "Bacterial small subunit ribosomal RNA", at positions 335 to 578 of the family's 1533-position model. The record is from RNAcentral.
ACUCCUACGGGAGGCAGCAGUGGGGAAUAUUGCACAAUGGGCGCAAGCCUGAUGCAGCCAUGCCGCGUGUAUGAAGAAGGCCUUCGGGUUGUAAAGCACUUUCAGCGAGGAGGAAGGGGUGUUGUAGUUAAUAGCACAGCUAUUUGACGUUACUCGCAGAAGAAGCACCGGCUAACUCCGUGCCAGCAGCCGCGGUAAUACGGAGGGUGCAAGCGUUAAUCGGAAUUACUGGGCGUAAAGCGCACGUAGGCGG